UGGGGAAUAUUGCACAAUGGAGGGAACUCUGAUGCAGCGACGCCGCGUGAGUGAUGAAGGAAUUCGUUUCGUAAAACUCUGUUCUAUGGGAAGAAAAGGACUGUACCAUAGGAGAAAGCUCCGGCUAAAUACGUGCCAGCAGCCGCGGUAAUACGUAUGGAGCGAGCGUUGUCCGGAAUUAUUGGGCGUAAAGGGUGCGCAGGCGGCUUUACAAGUUGGAUGUGAAAUAUUGUGGCUCGACCACAAACGUGCAUCCAAAACUGCAAAGCUUGAGUUAAGGAGAGGUAAGUGGAAUUCCUGGUGUAGCGGUGGAAUGCGUAGAUAUCAGGAGGAAUACCGGUGGCGAAGGCGACUUACUGGACUUAAACUGACGCUCAGGCACGAAAGCGUGGGGAGCAAACAGG
Molecule: ribosomal RNA, 404 nt
Filed under: Fusobacteriota bacterium
Lineage: Bacteria; Fusobacteriati; Fusobacteriota
Description: Fusobacteria bacterium partial 16S ribosomal RNA
Rfam family: Bacterial small subunit ribosomal RNA
Source: RNAcentral